CGAGUGGCGAACGGGUGAGUAACACGUGGGUGAUCUGCCCUGCACUUCGGGAUAAGCCUGGGAAACUGGGUCUAAUACCGGAUAGGACCGCACUUUGGUGUGUGUGGUGGAAAGGUUUUUCUGGUGUGGGAUGAGCUCGCGGCCUAUCAGUUUGUUGGUGGGGUAAUGGCCUACCAAGACGGCGACGGGUAGCCGGCCUGAGAGGGUGGACGGUCACAUUGGGACUGAGAUACGGCCCAGACUCCUACGGGAGGCAGCAGUGGGGAAUAUUGCACAAUGGGGGAAACCCUGAUGCAGCGACGCCGCGUGGGGGAUGAAGGCCUUCGGGUUGUAAACUCCUUUCGCUAGGGACGAAGCUUUUUGUGACGGUACCUGGAGAAGAAGCACCGGCUAACUACGUGCCAGCAGCCGCGGUAAUACGUAGGGUGCGAGCGUUGUCCGGAAUUACUGGGCGUAAAGGGCUCGUAGGUGGUGUGUCGCGUCGUCUGUGAAAUUCCGGGGCUUAACUCCGGGCGUGCAGGCGAUACGGGCAUGCUUGAGUGCUGUAGGGGUAGCUGGAAUGCCUGGUGUAGCGGUGAAAUGCGCAGAUAUCAGGCAGAACGCCGAUGGCGA
This 612-nucleotide ribosomal RNA is filed under the name uncultured Actinomycetes bacterium. Its description in RNAcentral is "bacterial SSU rRNA". It matches the Rfam family "Bacterial small subunit ribosomal RNA", at positions 92 to 718 of the family's 1533-position model. The record is from RNAcentral. Lineage: Bacteria; Bacillati; Actinomycetota; Actinomycetes.